AGUCAGAGCAAUGCUGGAUUUGACUGAGAUGCUAAUCUGAUGUCACGCAACACUCAUUGCCAUAUUGUUUAUGACCGCAGAUAAUAAACUACAUUGUGACAGCCAG
Long non-coding RNA from Cyprinus carpio (common carp), 106 nucleotides. RefSeq lists it as uncharacterized. The transcript has 3 exons. Lineage: Eukaryota; Metazoa; Chordata; Actinopteri; Cypriniformes; Cyprinidae. The record is from RefSeq and is a predicted model, not a curated record.